UGAGGGUUUACUUUACUCAGAACAAGUACCUUUGGUGACCGUGAAUCCGUGAUGCACACUUGUGACUUUCACCAAAAACAACCAUUUUUUCCUUUUUGGGGUCAAGGGCUUAUAAAAAACUAAAAAACUAAAAAAAUUCAAAAACUCAUUCUCCUCGCUCAUCAGAUCUCUCUCCGCCACUCAUCGAAGAAGAAAGCACUUGAUCUGUUUUCAUCCAGCAGUAGAGAUGAAGAACAAUAAGCCAGAGGUAACGGUGGUUGUUGAUGCAGCGGCGAGGAGAAAGAACAGCAGAAGCGGUUAGUGGUGUUGCUGCCGUCGGUGAAGAAGGAGCAGCUGCCAGGAAGUUGACGACACCGGUGAAGAGAACGGUGAAGAUCACUGAGGAUAUAUCUAAGCUGCCGAUUGCAUCCCUCAAGGAUACCAUUGUGUCAACUGUUGAAUCUCACCAGGUUAAUUUACUAUUUGCUCUGUAAAAUUGUCUUAGACAUGCUUUUGCUUGAUAGCUGGCUUGAUGAUUGAACAAUAAUGAAGCUUAUCACAUAAUACAUUACAUUAAUUUAUUAUUGCAUAUUAUAGUUAAGUAAGACUUUUGUUUCAAAUCCAUUUCAAUAUAGGAAUUAAUGAAGUGCACAAUAUAAGAAUUAAACAGAAGUCUCGGAAAUCAUCGCGCAUCACCUUUUGCUUUUGUUGACCUUUGGCCAAUGCUUGAUUCGGAUUUGUUUUUGGCAUUGUCCAUUGUCCCCCUGCUUUUGGUGAAGAUGAUUUCCGAGUUUGCAUUGAGAAGCACAUUCUUAGGAAGGUUAGUACUGCUAUGAACUUGAAAUUGUUAAAAGGUAUGCUUCUCUAUGGUGUUUGAUGUCAGAACCAACUUGGAUUGUAAAAUCAUUUCUGUGGGGGAGUUUGUAUGCAUCUGUUUGUAAAAGAACAUGUAGAUCUACUAAUUUUUUAGACCAUUUUAUGUUGCUGGAUCCAUGUUUACAAGUUUCAAUUUUGUAAAACUGUCAUGUUUGUUGUUGUUAUGUUUUAUUUAUCAUAUACCAAAUUGAAAACUACUAUGACUGUUUAUUUAUCUUGCAUGUGCUACUCCAUUUUUGGUUUGUUAAGGUGGAGUUAUUGAAAGAGAAAUUAUUGGAAAAUAUUCAGCAGACU
Molecule: long non-coding RNA, 1149 nt
Organism: Arachis ipaensis
Lineage: Eukaryota; Viridiplantae; Streptophyta; Magnoliopsida; Fabales; Fabaceae
Source: RefSeq, a predicted model, not a curated record